UCUGAGACUGUGAGAAUUCGGAGAGC
Molecule: non-coding RNA, 26 nt
Filed under: Homo sapiens (human)
Lineage: Eukaryota; Metazoa; Chordata; Mammalia; Primates; Hominidae
Source: RNAcentral